This 492-nucleotide ribosomal RNA is filed under the name uncultured bacterium. Its description in RNAcentral is "partial 16S ribosomal RNA". It matches the Rfam family "Bacterial small subunit ribosomal RNA", at positions 29 to 507 of the family's 1533-position model. The record is from RNAcentral.
AGUGAACGCUGGCGGUAGGCCUAACACAUGCAAGUCGAACGGCAGCACAGUAAGAGCUUGCUCUUACGGGUGGCGAGUGGCGGACGGGUGAGGAAUACAUCGGAAUCUACUUUUUCGUGGGGGAUAACGUAGGGAAACUUACGCUAAUACCGCAUACGACCUACGGGUGAAAGCAGGGGAUCUUCGGACCUUGCGCGAUUGAAUGAGCCGAUGUCGGAUUAGCUAGUUGGCGGGGUAAAGGCCCACCAAGGCGACGAUCCGUAGCUGGUCUGAGAGGAUGAUCCGCCACACUGGAACUGAUACACGGUCCAGACUCCUACGGGAGGCAGCUGUGGGGAAUAUUGGACAAUGGGCGCAAGCCUGAUCCAGCCAUACCGCGUGGGUGAAGAAGGCCUUCGGGUUGUAAAGCCCUUUUGUUGGGAAAGAAAAGCAGCAGGUUAAUACCCCGCUGUUCUGACGGUACCCAAAGAAUAAGCACCGGCUAACUUCGUG